RNAcentral lists this ribosomal RNA (497 nucleotides) under uncultured bacterium. RNAcentral describes it as "partial 16S ribosomal RNA". It matches the Rfam family "Bacterial small subunit ribosomal RNA", at positions 28 to 507 of the family's 1533-position model. The record is from RNAcentral.
GAUGAACGCUGGCGGCGUGCCUAAUACAUGCAAGUCGAGCGAACAGAUGAGGAGCUUGCUCCUCUGACGUUAGCGGCGGACGGGUGAGUAACACGUGGAUAACCUACCUAUAAGACUGGAAUAACUUCGGGAAACCGGAGCUAAUACCGGAUAAUAUAUUGAACCGCAUGAUUCAAUAGUGAAAGACGGUUUUGCUGUCACUUAUAGAUGGAUCCGCGCCGCAUUAGCUAGUUGGUAAGGUAACGGCUUACCAAGGCAACGAUGCGUAGCCGACCUGAGAGGGUGAUCGGCCACACUGGAACUGAGACACGGUCCAGACUCCUACGGGAGGCAGCAGUAGGGAAUCUUCCGCAAAGGGCGAAAGCCUGACGGAGCAACGCCGCGUGAGUGAUGAAGGUCUUCGGAUCGUAAAACUCUGUUAUUAGGGAAGAACAAAUGUGUAAGUAACUAUGCACGUCUUGACGGUACCUAAUCAGAAAGCCACGGCUAACUACGUG